GCCAGGUAUGGUGGUGCAGACCUGUGGUCCCAGAUACUCAGGAGGCUGAGGUAGGAGGAUUGCUUGAGCCCAGGAGGUUGAGGCUGCAGUGAGCCAAGAUUACACCACUGCACUCCAACCUGGGCAACAGAGCAAGACUCUGUCUCAA
RNAcentral lists this non-coding RNA (148 nucleotides) under Callithrix jacchus (white-tufted-ear marmoset). Lineage: Eukaryota; Metazoa; Chordata; Mammalia; Primates; Cebidae. The record is from Rfam by way of RNAcentral.